AAGUCCUAGCUUAAUCAAAGCAUCUGAGUUGCAUUCAGGGGAUGCAGGAUAAUGUCCUGCGGAUUUUA
RNAcentral lists this transfer RNA (68 nucleotides) under Nucifraga caryocatactes. Its description in RNAcentral is "tRNA-Ala". It matches the Rfam family "tRNA". Rfam says of the family: Transfer RNA (tRNA) molecules are approximately 80 nucleotides in length. Their secondary structure includes four short double-helical elements and three loops (D, anti-codon, and T loops). The record is from RNAcentral. Lineage: Eukaryota; Metazoa; Chordata; Aves; Passeriformes; Corvidae.